This 75-nucleotide transfer RNA is filed under the name Verrucomicrobia bacterium ADurb.Bin006. RNAcentral's name for it is "tRNA-Lys". It matches the Rfam family "tRNA". Rfam says of the family: Transfer RNA (tRNA) molecules are approximately 80 nucleotides in length. Their secondary structure includes four short double-helical elements and three loops (D, anti-codon, and T loops). RNAcentral also lists the same sequence under 3 other names. Lineage: Bacteria; Pseudomonadati; Verrucomicrobiota. The record is from RNAcentral.
GGGUUGGUAGCUCAGCGGUAGAGCAGCGGCCUUUUAAGCCGUUGGUCGUGGGUUCGAGUCCCACCCGACCCACCA